Long non-coding RNA from Myxocyprinus asiaticus (Chinese sucker), 5805 nucleotides. RefSeq lists it as uncharacterized. The transcript has 6 exons. Lineage: Eukaryota; Metazoa; Chordata; Actinopteri; Cypriniformes; Catostomidae. The record is from RefSeq and is a predicted model, not a curated record.
CGACAGCGCCAACUGGCAUCCAUCCCUCUAAACUCAAACAGUCCAUGUACGCCUACGAGAGUCCCCGCGACAACUUUGCCGUCAGAUCGCUCAAGUCUGGUGCUUCUAUACAAAUUUUGUGAGACAGAAUUUCAUAGCAAAAAAUAGUCUAUAAAACAAACUCCAGCCAACAAGUGGAAUAAACCCAAAAAACCCCAUAACUGUCCCGAAGGUGUGUUCCUCCACAAAACAAGCUCCAGCCAUUAGCGAAACCAGCACAAAAAAAAAAAAUUUCAAUUCUUCGGGCAGUCAAAUGAAUGUUCAGUAAGCCGGCCUAUUUGGGCGAUACAUGAGUGCAACAAAAGACCCAAUCACUUCAAUGUCCUGCAAGAGAUAUUCCACAAAACAAACUCCAGGCCACAGGAAGUAUAAGCACCAAAAACAUGCAGAUUUAUCUACAAGCUGUCCCGAAGAAAUUAUAUUACACAAAACAAACUCCAGCCACUAGGUGGAACCAGCACAAAAAGAAACAAAGAAGGCGCCCAGCUUCCUUGGGCAGUCGAGUGUAUGUUCAGUGAGUCAAGUCCACUAGACAGCAACGUGAAAAUCACCAAAUGGCUUACUCACUCCAAUGUCUUCAUGAAAGACAAUGCUUGUCUUCUGAUUUUCCCCAAACGCGUUGCAAGUCUGUCUUAGUUGCUGGCGGGUUAGCAGCUAAUUCCCUCUACGAUGACACCAGAUAAUCGAUCCGUUUUUCGACAUCCGACAAUCUUGUAACCAAUUUCGUCUCCAUGGAAGUGAUCGAUCGACGUAUUACAGCAAGAUUCUCCAAGUCUGCGAUGACCUUCAUCGACAUCACAGACAUGUUCGCCAGUUGACGUUGAAUUUCUCCCGCCGCACCGUCCAAACCGAGUCCCUGGUCUGCAGCCUUGUCAGGGGUGUCAGCUUGAGCACAUGGUAAAUAUGUCUGAGGCACUUCCAGAACAAUCAAAACAAAAGUUGUGAGUGGGACAGAAGAAGCCAACAACAUAUAUGAAGAGUUUCAUGCCAGCAGCAUUGAAGCACAUACUGGUCAAAUAAAACGAGAGAUGCCAUUUCCAGAAGAUUUUAUUGGCCUGGCAUGUCACAGGAUAUUGACAAAUGGGUGGCACAGUGUGGAAAAUGCCAAGCCAGUAGACCCUUUAUAAAACAGGGGACUGACUACACACCUAUUGUGGUUAAACAGCCCUUUGAACAUUUAGGAAUGGUCCUCAUUGGCAAACUGUCAUUGACAGAUAAUGGAAAUCAGUACAUUUGUGUUAUAAUUGAUUACCUCACAAAGUGGUCCCAGACCUAUCCUUUGAAAUCCAAAACAGCCAAAGAAGUCACAGAAAGUUUAAUCAAAUUUGUGCAUCAGUUUGAAGCUCCUAAAAGAGUCCUUCCUGACCAGAGGAAAGUGUUUGUGAAUAAGUUGAACCGACGUGUGUGCAAACUGCUCAGUAUCAAGCAGUCCUUGUGUACACCCUAUCACCCACAAACGAAUGGGCUUGUGGAAAGGAUGAAUGCUACAAUACAGAGGGCCCCAGCACCGGAGGUAAUGUUUUUUCACAAUUAUUAUUUUUAUUUUUAACGCAUUGACCCAUUUUAUAAGGUAUUCAUCAUGCUUGAAACUUGGCACACACAUCAAACCUGCAUAAAAUCAAAAGAUUAUGCAGUGUUUAGGCUUGGGUGUGGUCAAGGAGCUCUACAGUGCCUCCAAACGCAGGCAAUAUUUGGGAUGAAGUUGCUCAGAUGUGCAUAAGACUUUUUUAUAGACUUUGGAAUAGCACUCUCUUUUUUACCUGAAUUGCUUCAAACUUGUUUAAAAUAAUGUCAGGACAAUGCUGAUGUCAAAUCUUUUAUAACAUUGAAUAUUAUUCCUUUAUAUAUUAGGUGUGUUUUGAGGCACAUGGAAUGCUUAAUUUCACAUGAUAUUUGGCACACACAGCUCUGUUUUGCCCCCUUUAAAAUAUGCAUUUUUGGGAUGCUCUGUAGCACACUUUUUUUCAGCUACAAGCUUACUCAGUACAUAUUUAGAUCUCAUCAAGCCGGACAACUUCGUACUGACAGUCUUAAGCUCCGCCCAACAGGACGUCGGCCAGGAAGUGGGUAUAACUUGGUCAUGCUUGGUCUGAUCAGCUUCAAAUUGUGCAUUGUUACCAAUGGGCCAUUCCUGAUUACACCAACAUGGCAAUUAUGAGGCAGAUGCUGUAUUCAGUUACACAAUUUUAUAUGUUAUAGAAACACUUAUGUUUGUGAAAAUGUACAAUGAAUUGCUUCAUGUGUACUGAAAUAUACUGGCAUAACUUGUGCAAUGGUAGUAUAUUUAGAUGUCAUUUUCUUGUACACAUGAUCAAUCAAUGUUCCAUUUUUAGUGAUAGGUUCUUUGACACAUGGAACAUAGCUUAGGUUUGCCAUCAGUGUAGACAUUGUGUGUGUUUUCAGUUCAUCAUGGUUCCAAUCACCAAUUAAAAAGAUAUUAUCUGACAUAUUGUUUUAUGUAUUGCAGAGUUUAAGUAAUAUAUUUUUGAAACGAAGAUAAGUGAUAUUGUAAUGGCCUGUAAAUAACAAUGAUUAUAUCAAGUUUGUUGAGUUGACAUAUUAUGCACUUUAUGUUAACAUUGGGAAUGUCCAAAAUAUUGUAAUCAUUAUUAGUUUUACAGUAUAUGCCAACACCACCAUGUUUUUGGUGUCGAAUUGAGUUUAACAGAGGGUUGUCUGUACUGUAAGCAAAACAACAUGCAGCACUGUGAAAGUGGAUUCACUUGAUAUAUUUGCAGGCAGCCAUGUCUCUGUUACAGCUGUAAUUAUAGGAUUGGAUUGAAGCCGUUAAAUCUAGCAAAUGGCAGUGUAAAACCUGAACAUUCAUUAGGAAAACUGAAAAAGAUUUGUUGGUGUUAUGUGGUGAAAUAUUAUAAAGUUCAAACUGUGGCAUUGUGUUGAUACAUUCUUGGAUGUUGUUUGUAAUGCAAUAAAUUGCUUUAUCAGCAACGUCUUGAAUGAUCAACCCACUUAAAGUCUUGACUUGACUUAAAGCAACAUAUGCCUGUCCAGCUGCAAAAAUCUUUUUUUAGUGAUAUGACCGCUUCAUUGACAGUUAAUCCUUGCACUUUGUGGGAACUGCUUACACAACCCACCCUCGCUGUUAACUCGCUCUUCCUCUAAAGUAAAUGGAGUGGAAUUCAUGAUGUUUCUAGGUGGUGGUGUACGCUUCCAAGUGGUAUUCCCAACUUUAUCAUCACCAAAUUGAACACAUACUAAAUUCACAAUUGUGUUGUUUGUAUUAAGGGCCAUGUCUGUUACAGUACCACAGACACCAUUUACAAGUCCAUCAGUGACGUCAAUAUUCUUAAUUAACAUAAGCGUAGAGGGGCCUGGGUAGCUCAGUGGUAAAACACGCUGGCUACCACCCCUGGAGUUCGCUAGUUUGAAUCCCAGGGCGUGCUGAGUGACUCCAGCCAGGUCUUGUAAGCAACCAAAAUUGGCCCAGUUGCUAGGGAGGGUAGAGUCACAUGGGGUAACCUCCUCAUGGUCACUAUAAUGUGGUUUGUUCUCGGUGGGGCGCAUGGUGAAUUGAGCGUGGUUGCCGCGGUGGAUGGCGUGGCUUGUUGAGCAACACGCUCAACAAGCCAUGUGAUAAGAUGCACAGGUUGACUGUCUCAGACGUGGAGGCAACUGGGAUUCGUCCUCUACCACCUGGACUGAGGCAAAUCACUAUGCAACCACGAGGACUUAGAGCGCAUUGGGAAUUGGGCAUUCCAAAUUGGGAGAAAAAGGGGGGAAAAUCCCCCCCCAAAAAAGAAAAAUUAACAUAAGUGCACCUUUACCUAAUAGAAACUUUUCCGGUAAACAGGAAUUAAAUACUUUGCAAAAGUGUCCCUUUUUAAGUUGCAUUUGUCCAGUUUGUUUAUUUUUCUCAAAAUCCUGAGCAUCUACACAAAUGUAGUCAAGGCAAUAUGCAAUUAUCUGUUUGAUAUUAUGCUCUUCCACUUGCAUAUUUGUUGGGAAAGUGGAAGUGGUUUGCCCAGUUUCCCUACUUUUGUGCAUAUUUAAGUCAUUAAGUGAUAAUGGGGAACUCUUGCUACGUGUACGCAAUCUGUUCAGUAUUUCCGCAAAAGCUGAGUCUUUUUGCCAAACAGUGAUUGUUAAUUCUGACAGUACAAAUGUGCUGUUCCACAAAUCCAAUGGAGCAUUUUGCAAACAUAAUGGUUUUCUUCUCAGGUGGCAGCUGGAAAAAAAUUUCCCACAGCAAUUAUACUAACUUUACCAAAUGGAGAGUAGUCACCUGUCUGGUUUAUUUGUCUAAGCCUACCAUGGACAUAGGCUAGCAGGCUGUGGUUUACCAUAGACAUUUCAUCUAUAUAAAGUAUAUGCAAGUCAAUAAAUACCACAUGCAUUGUAUUUACUUUUUCUUCUCCUAAAGGUGUAUAAGACAAUUUUACAUCUGUCCUGAUUGAAAAUGUACUAUGGAUCAUCUUGGCACCCAAGUUGAAAGCAGCAAUUCCAGUAGGUGCUGUCAAUAGAACAGAAACUUUGUCUGGUGCAGUUGCAAUUUGGGAUAAUAAUCUGGUCGCUUCAUAAUGAAUAGCUCUGAUUAAAUGUGACUUUCCUGUUCCUGCACCUCCAGUAACAAAUACAUGGAAAGGCUCUGGCUUUUUACCUCUAACUUUCUCUAAGCACCACUGUCUUACUUGAUAGAAAAUAUAUUUUUCAGAGACCUAAGUAGAUUGAGAGCAUCUGAUCUGCAUCUGAAGACAUUCAAACUAGACUCAAAUCAAUUGCUUCUUUCAUUUUGAAUGGAUAGAUCAGGAAUUAUAUCAACAUGCUCAUCAAGUUCUUUUGAUGAAUCUCUAAUUUCUUGUUGACAUUCCAAGCGCUCUGACUCCUGCUCAGGACACUUCUCACACAUUUUCCAGUUUGCCCUGGCUACAUUUUGCUAGGGCCCUAUGUCCCCCUGUGACAGGGGGACCCCUCGUUAGGUCCCAAGCACUGAAAGUGCGGAGCCCUAUUGUUCUUGUAAAGAUUAUUAGGGCCCAAGCACUGAAAGUGCGAAGACCCUAAUGUUCUUCUAAGGAUUACUAUUAUUAUUAUUUUUAUUAUUAGGGCCCAAGCACUGAAAGUGCGGAGCCCUAUUGUUCUUCUAAGGAUUAUUAGGACCCAAGCACUGAAAGUGCGGUCUCUGCAGCGCCACCUUGAACAUGGGCAUAUUCGGGGGGCUAUGUAGCACAUCCCUUUUGAGCUACAGUCACCAAAUUUUGUACACAUAUAGAUCUCAUGAAGCCGGACAACUUUCGUGCUGACAGUCAUAAGCUCUGCCUAAAAGGAAGUUGGCCAUUUUGGAUUGUUUGAAAAAUGCAUGCUCAGGAAUUUGAUAUACUUCUCCCAGGGAUUUUAUGUUACAGGUACCAAAUGUGGGCGACAUCAUGCCAAGACAUUGACGGUGCUAAAUUACAAAGGGAUUUUUGAUAUAUUGAACGGUGUUGCCAUGGCGAAGCGAUAAAAUAACAUAAAAAAAAUGGAAUAAGGAAAUGUCUCAUAUCUUCUGCGUGCAGAAAAUUUUAAACAUCAAAAUUGAGCCAAAUGUUUGUCCUUGCAGGCUGAUCAUAUUGAUGUGACUAUUGUGGGUCAUGGUUGUAGUGCCACCAACUGGCGGAAGGAAGUGUGUCACUUUAAACAGACUUUAAAAUAUCCUUUUUAUGUUAACCUGAAUUGCUUCAAAAAAUUUUAGAAUAAUGUCAAGACAGUGCAGAUUUAAAAUUCUGAAGGGAUUAUUGAUAUCUUAAAUACUGUUGCCAUGGCAAUGCAUUA